This 497-nucleotide ribosomal RNA is filed under the name uncultured bacterium. RNAcentral describes it as "partial 16S ribosomal RNA". It matches the Rfam family "Bacterial small subunit ribosomal RNA", at positions 28 to 507 of the family's 1533-position model. The record is from RNAcentral.
GAUGAACGCUGGCGGCGUGCCUAAUACAUGCAAGUCGAGCGAACGGACGAGAAGCUUGCUUCUCUGAUGUUAGCGGCGGACGGGUGAGUAACACGUGGAUAACCUACCUAUAAGACUGGGAUAACUUCGGGAAACCGGAGCUAAUACCGGAUAAUAUUUUGAACCGCAUGGUUCAAAAGUGAAAGACGGUCUUGCUGUCACUUAUAGAUGGAUCCGCGCUGCAUUAGCUAGUUGGUAAGGUAACGGCUUACCAAGGCAACGAUGCAUAGCCGACCUGAGAGGGUGAUCGGCCACACUGGAACUGAGACACGGUCCAGACUCCUACGGGAGGCAGCAGUAGGGAAUCUUCCGCAAUGGGCGAAAGCCUGACGGAGCAUCGCCGCGUGAGUGAUGAAGGUCUUCGGAUCGUAAAACUCUGUUAUUAGGGAAGAACAUAUGUGUAAGUAACUGUGCACAUCUUGACGGUACCUAAUCAGAAAGCCACGGCUAACUACGUG